RNAcentral lists this ribosomal RNA (492 nucleotides) under uncultured bacterium. Its description in RNAcentral is "partial 16S ribosomal RNA". It matches the Rfam family "Bacterial small subunit ribosomal RNA", at positions 29 to 507 of the family's 1533-position model. The record is from RNAcentral.
AGUGAACGCUGGCGGUAGGCCUAACACAUGCAAGUCGAACGGCAGCACAGUAAGAGCUUGCUCUUACGGGUGGCGAGUGGCGGACGGGUGAGGAAUACAUCGGAAUCUACUUUUUCGUGGGGGAUAACGUAGGGAAACUUACGCUAAUACCGCAUACGACCUACGGGUGAAAGCAGGGGAUCUUCUGACCUUGCGCGAUUGAAUGAGCCGAUGUCGGAUUAGCUAGUUGGCGGGGUAAAGGCCCACCAAGGCGACGAUCCGUAGCUGGUCUGAGAGGAUGAUCAGCCACACUGGAACUGAGACACGGUCCAGACUCCUACGGGAGGCAGCAGUGGGGAAUAUUGGACAAUGGGCGCAAGCCUGAUCCAGCCAUACCGCGUGGGUGAAGAAGGCCUUCGGGUUGUAAAGCCCUUUUGUUGGGAAAGAAAAGCAGCAGGUUAAUACCCAGCUGUUCUGACGGUACCCAAAGAAUAAGCACCGGCUAACUUCGUG